Molecule: ribosomal RNA, 327 nt
Filed under: uncultured eukaryote
Lineage: Eukaryota
Description: partial 18S ribosomal RNA
Rfam family: Eukaryotic small subunit ribosomal RNA
Source: RNAcentral
CCCUUAGAUGUUCUGGGCCGCACGCGCGCUACACUGACGAAUGCAACGAGCUUAUAACCUUGGCCGAAAGGUCUGGGUAAUCUCCAAAUUUCGUCGUGAUGGGGAUAGAUUAUUGCAAUUAUUAAUCUUCAACGAGGAAUGCCUAGUAAGCGCAAGUCAUCAGCUUGCGUUGAUUACGUCCCUGCCCUUUGUACACACCGCCCGUCGCUCCUACCGAUUGAAUGGUCCGGUGAAGCGUUCGGACCGUGGCCUUUGGACGGUUCGCCGUCUGCUGGCUGCGGGAAGUUCGUUAAACCUUAUCAUUUAGAGGAAGGAGAAGUCGUANCA